This 748-nucleotide long non-coding RNA is filed under the name Marmota monax (woodchuck). The record is from RNAcentral. Lineage: Eukaryota; Metazoa; Chordata; Mammalia; Rodentia; Sciuridae.
UGCUUCUCCCCUGCAGUGCCCAAGCUCCAUGAGGGGCCCUGAGCACAGGCUGGCUGGGGGAGCGCCACCCUCUGCGACUCUGCCUGGAUGGCUCUCAGUGGAUUCUGAGGACUCUGUUCAAGAGCUAAAGCAAACUGGCCAUCUUUCUGAACUCUGUGAAUGGAACAAAGCUCCCAAGUGCCACGGAAGAAUUGCUGUGUUUGAUUUCAGCCUGCAGCCUGCCGCACCUGCCCCGUUUGUGAGCACAUGGCAUCCUUUUGAAGAGUUCUGAAACAUGGAGUUGACAGAUCCCAUCAGAGUUUGGCUUAUAUGAGACCAAAAAAAAAAAAAAAAACCCAGCAACUUGCUGGCUUAAAAAGACUGAGUAUCCACUCCAUAGUACAUAUGCAUAAUGAACACUGAACAUUCCACUUCUAAGUUUCAUUUCUAUUUAUCCCUACACAAAAGAAACGUUAUGUUGUAACUUUCUGGGGACAUCAAGGAAAUGUUCUGUUGAUCCAGGAUCUUCUCAUUCAGUGAAGCCUUGCAAGAAAUAUAACCCUUUCAUAACACACAUGCUCAUCUUCCUCCUCUCCAAACUGUCAAUUGUCAGUUGCUGUUUCCAGCAGAUUUAAAGACAAUGAAUUAUUUAUACAGGUGGUUGCUGAAAAUGAAACACCCUUCAGAACUGAAACAAAAAGCUAUAAAUCUGAAGAGGAGUGGGAGAGUCCUGCACUCACAUGUCAUAGAAUCACCCUUCACAUAGAGG